This 4480-nucleotide long non-coding RNA is filed under the name Gallus gallus (chicken). Its description in RNAcentral is "lncRNA (ENSGALG00010015962.1)". Lineage: Eukaryota; Metazoa; Chordata; Aves; Galliformes; Phasianidae. The record is from RNAcentral.
GCUGAACCCAACCUCAAAAGGAGAAUGGGAGAAGCUCAGCUACGGGGGACUCUUCCAGAGGGUGGGGACUGGAUAAGUGCUUGUGGGCACGAUGAAAGUGUUUACAGGAACUUGUAGAGACAGAGAGGUGCAAGCUGCCUUGGGGAACCACCACGUGCUGGGCUUCAAAGCUUUUUGGGACCUCCAGGCUUGCGAGUGGUGAAUGUGAGCUGAUGGAAGCACAAGACAAAUGGCUCUCAGUGGUGGCCAAAGGCAGGUGCCAACAUCCCUGAGCUGCCGGAGAAGAUGGGAGGGCAGGAGUUAUCCAGCAUCGCUCACGCUCUGCUCCAUCCUACACGGAGACUGGGCUAAGUUCCACAGCAGUACCCAAAGGAUGAGGAGGCAUGGGGUGGUCAGAGGUGAAUACCUCUGUCACCCCGAAAGGUCUUAUGGGAAUGAAUGGUACUUGCAGAAGCAGUCUGUAAACUCUAUCUUUAAUUAAUAAACAUUAGUAAUAAGAAGGUAGCAUAUCUGUGCAUGUUUCCCAGACUGUGAACUGCAGGAGUGCUGGGCUUCAGCCUAUGCCUAGCCAUGGGGCUCCUUGAUGUGGACCUCAGCCUGCAGGAUGAGUUCCCAGCUUUGCCUUGGACCUCCAUCAUCACCAUGGUGUUGCCAUAUGACCUGGACUCUAGGUUGUGUCCAUCUUGGUUGGAUGCUGAGGGUAUAGGUCCCACCUUGGCUUCACCUUCUUGUGAGAGCAGCCCCGAUCUCGCUGCUCCUCGAUGGCUGGGAGCACAUAGGUGGCUGCAAAUCUUCAGCUGCCUGGGGCAACCACGGCACACAGCAGUCCUCUGAUGGGAGCAUGAAGCAAGAAGAAGCUGCAAAGCUGCACAGAAUUAAGCAGGUUUGUGCACAAGGUAAUGAGGUUUUUGUCCAGAGUAGGGCAGAAAAAAAAAUCCAAAAAUGCAACCAGUUACACCUCCUACUUUCUCAUUAACCUACCAGCUAAAUCACAGCUCUUCCUCCUUGACGUGACACCUACCCAUUAGGAUGAUGAGCCGGGUGGGAGUAGCAGCUUGCAGCUACUAGCCAAAGAAAUCUAUUUAGGGAUUACACAAACACUGGAGUUUUUAUCCACAUGCUAAUAUGCUUUGAUCUCUAGAUAGCUGAAGCACUCUCUUUGUUGUAAAAUAAAUACGAUGUCAUUUGUCAUAUUUAUCAGCCCCAGUAUGGCAGGGGCCACUUCCCUGGUGAGAGGUGAGGGCUGGCUUCUUAUGGACCAUCACGUCUUAGCUCUCCAAGGAAGGAUGUUAUUAGAUAGAGGAAGGAUAUUGAGAGGUAACUACAGGCAAAGCUUUCGUGCUACUCCCUGUUCUCCUCUCCCAGCCAUUGCCGAGCAAAGGGAGGAACUAAAGACAUUAAAGCUAAAGAGUCCUUGCCAAAACCCUUGAGGUCUAUUCUUCAUCAACUGGAGCAUAACAACCAAUUAAUGAAUAUAGAUAGGUUUUAUGAAAAAUGCAUGAUGAAUGUACAUCUCAUCUUGGAAAAAGGACUCCUUAAGGCUUAGAAACACAUCAAUACCUUGAGGAGGGUACCCGAGUUCACCUGAAUGACCUUGCAAAUGUGUGGAAAUGAUUCUGCCCAUCCAGCUCAGGAUGUGAGUGCUCUGCCCCAUCCGGCUGGCACAGUCACGAAGUAAAAAUGCUCAGUGCUGGCUUGCGUGUAAUAAACAACAUGGCGGAGGGAAUGACCUGGAGGAGAGCUUGCCCAAAGUUUGCAAAUGGUAUCAAACCACUGCAGGGGAGCAGCUGAUGUUCUCAAGGGGAGAGCUGCUAUUCAGAGGGCAGCAGCACAGCCACUGAACACCUCAGCCCUGAAAAAUCAAGAAUUAAAUUCACCUGGCAAGGAGUUUCUUUGCAGCCUUUUUCAUCCCUUAGAAGCUUCCUAUCUUAGUCAGCUCUCAGCUUUAUUAUGUCAUAUUUGCUAUACUGAAAGAAGAAAAUAAUAACGCAAUAACCACCCCUGCCCCCUUCCCAGGAGGCAGACAGCCACCUUUGUUGUAAUGCCACGUCCAGCUCAGGCUUGUGGGGAUAACUGCAAGAUGACAAAUGUCCUCAGGGCUCCCCAGGACCAUCUCUUUGGUAUUACCCUUCCCAUCUAAGUAGCUGUCGGGGACCUCCUGCUGGGCUUUCCUGCCCAGCUCCAGGAAAGCAGCUUGUCAUCCUCAGGCUUCACCCAAGAGGCUGAGGAGUGUCAGCAUGGCACUGGAAACCUCAUGUUCCUGUCAGCCCCCAGUGAUUAGUGUUCCCAGAUUAAUAGAUACAGCUCUCCUUAAAACCAGAUCAAUAGUUCUCACUCACUUUUUUGGUCCUGUUCCCUGAAGCGGAGGCAUUCAGCUAUCGCUCCCGCAGAUAUAUUGCACAAGGUGCAAUUCUGCAUGGAAAUGAGCUUCCUGAGAAGAGCCAGCGGCUGGAUAAUAGCUCAUGCUUCUGACCGUGCCUUAUGGAUGGUGGCUGCCUGGUCACAGGCAGGUAUUAUUUCAGGGCUGUGAAUAAUCUGAGCAGUAAGGAGGGCUCAUGACCUGGGCUCCCCAAACAGGAACCCUGCCACCAGGGAUAACAGGUCCCCUGCUGCAGCAGCGCUGAGGUAAAGCCGAGCCAAUUGCUUUCCAAGCAUGAGAUGCUCAUCUUGUGGCAGAGCUUCUUGUCUAACGAUGCUAAAUGAUUGAUGCUGCAGACGCAAUCAUUUGCUUCGCUGGACGUUGCGGGAGCAGUGGUGAUACACAGGAAAAUCCAUUACUGCGCUGCUCCAUCCUCAUUGACUCCCUCACGCUCCACGCUUGUCUGAGCAGACAUCAGCCCAUCUAUAAAACAGCCCCUCAUCCAAAAUGCAUCUUGACUCCGUACCAGUACCUGACUGACUAAGCUUUAUUUUAUCUUUUAAAAUGUUUUCCUUUCUGCUUUCCCUCUUUUUGCACUCCGACAGGCGUCCCUUGGAAGGCACUGCUCCUUGUGCACAGGCACUGCACAGAACAAGGCAGUAAGAGCCUUCCUGGCCUGGGGAAGCAAAAAGCCACCAGGAAACAAUUGCUGUCACUUAAUGUCAGCUGUGAUGAACACUUUAGCAGUGGGGCUCAAGUGUUGAUGCCGUGAGGGCGAGCAGCUCCACAUCAUCCAUGGGGACGCUGGACUCAGUCCUACAAGAACUGCUGCAGACAUCCCAUUACCUGUCAGAAACCCUUGGGAUCUAAUGCAUUUCCAUCCAGUAUUUCUGGAAUUGCUUUUUGUAAUUUCCAGCAAGCACAAAACGUAUUUUUAAUAUAAAACAAGGUACGUGCCAUCAUCAGCACGGCACUGGGCUCCCAUCAAUACAAGAUAAUUGGGGAAGCAAAUUCCCCUAGCAAAACAGCACAGGGUGGAAGCACUCUGCAGUCAUUAUGCAAUUGGCCCAACUUUUUGCGUUGCCAUUUCAAGUGAUCAAUGAGCCUGACAUGUCCUCGUAAUUAGAUUUUGUUGCUGAUAUCUGAGCUCAUGCUAAAUUAGGCUAAUCUCCUGCUUUCAGAAGCAGAUGUGAGUUAUCUGCCAUUGGCGUGCUCUAAACUCAGAGGGACUAACAGUUCCCAAAAUGUUGAUCUUGCGGUGCUGGUUUUGAUUGAGUGGUUUCAUUGCAGGGGGUUUGCAGUGUUCCUCCUCCUGGAAACUCCCAGCUCUGCAAUUCAAGAGCCAAGAACUCUUGGGAAGGUGCCAGAUGUGGCACAAGACAAUGUCAUCGUAGAAUCAUAAAACCAUUUGAGUUGGAAAGAACCCCUAAAGGCCAUCUGGUCCAACUCCUCUCCAACGAACCGGGACACUUACAGCUCUAUCAGGUGCUCAGAGCCCCAUCCAGCCUGACCUUCUCAGGGAUGGGGCAUCUCUCUGGGCAGUCUGUGCCAGUGCCUCAUCAGUGUCCUUCCAGCUGUCCAGGUAACACCUCUCCUUGAAUGUAGAUGUAGCUCAGAGCACUGGGGAUGGUCCUGGGUGUGGGAAAAGCCGUCGCACCUGCUUAUGGUAUAUAACAGGGGAAAAAACAAGACACAUGCUAACUGCCCUACCCCAGGCAUCAGCUACCCCAGUGCACCAGCUCUGGGAGCUCCAGCAGUGAGAUAGAGAGAAGCAUCGUGCAGAAGGUUUGCAAGUGCUCCUUCCCUGAGUGCCACCAGCUCCAGCCAGAGGUGGAGACCUAGGGGACACAUGCUGGUUCACCGUUGCUUGGGGCUGGGGGGCAUCUCCAGCUGCUGGGAUUUUUUUCCAUGUGGAGACACCUAAAGACCUACAGAGAGGGCUCAAAUCUGACACAAGGCUCCAGUCCAGAACAUGAGGGGAAACCUUUCUGAAAGUGACAGGACAUCUGCUGACAUUUCUUAAAGUGUUUCCAUUUGACCUCCUCUUAGAAUAAUUCAGGAUUUCCUGGCUUUAGGGCAACAUUUGCUGACAUCCGCUCUUUUUUUUUUUUUAUUUUAAAG